Molecule: long non-coding RNA, 2324 nt
Organism: Strigops habroptila (Kakapo)
Lineage: Eukaryota; Metazoa; Chordata; Aves; Psittaciformes; Psittacidae
Exons: 2
Source: RefSeq, a predicted model, not a curated record
GCAGACAAAAAAACCCCCGUGUUUCCUACACAGAGCCACUCCCCUCCCCAGCUCUACACCCUUGUGCAGAAAUACCAGAAUAACAAUAUGAUUCAACACAGAAAAACGGAUACUGCAAAAUAAGAGCCUUUUACGUGGAGCAUUUUCCAUCCUCAGCUCCAUUCCGCUCAGGGAAAUCCACGCCAGAGCUUGCCGACAGCCCCAUGGGCGAACUCUCCAUCUGCCGUCUGGGGGAGGCACCACCCCGCUUCCAGAACGUUCGCGCUGAGUCACCGCACUCUCUCGGCCCUGCCUUCCUCCCGCACCGCCCGGCCUUUCGCUAUAACGCUAGUUGUAACGCAGAGGAGGAGCCAUCGGUUUAGCAAUCAGAAACGCACCGGCUAGGUAAAUCUGUGUUUCUCAUUUUCUUUUUGACUACUAAAGAACAAGCUAUUAACACCAUGGGAGGGAAGAGAGAAGAGGUGAUGCUGUCGGCUGCCAGUACUAGUGUACAGCAAACAUUACAGUGUACUUGGACUUCUGGAAACAGGGUUGUGUUCCAUACACAGCACAGUUUUCAAAACCUACCAUACUUCAUGCAUUCCAACACCCACUUUAGGAAAGAAAGAAAACCAACCCCAAAAAACCCAAACGCAAACCACACCACCCACCUCAUACAGCAAAAUGCUGCUGCUCCCUUCUGGGCCAGCCAUUUUGUUCAGCACCUCCAAAAAUGAUACUCUUUUCAAAAUGGCCUGUUAAAGAGCAAAGUAAACCAAAACCAAAGGGAAGGGAAGACAUUGUGACAAGAGCUUUCCUCUGAACUCUGGCAGUCUCCCUGUGACUUUUCUGUAAAAUGAGAGUAAGCUUACUCAGUGCACAGGAAAAAAACAUGGGCAACAAAUGGUGCAAAAAAGGACUGUGUGAAUGGUGUGAAUGUACAAUAUUUUACUCAAACAUAACACACGUAAAGAACUACUCUCCACAGUAAAUGUCAAAAAAAAGCUACUUUUCCUUUUCAUGUUCCCACUAAAGAGAGGAUUAAAAAAACCCAACAGAACCAACAGUACUUGACAAUUUUUAGGCCUACUGUUUUAUAACGUUUUCAUACGAUCCUUAAAAAAACAAAGCAACCCCCUCCCCAAAAAAAAAACCCCACCAAAACAAAACCCCAAAACGCCAACCAAACCCCCCAAAACCAACAAGAACAAAUCACCACAGGAUGUGUUAGGUACAGUAUGUUUUCGACAUAAAAUUUCAUCCCCUGUCAAUGAUUACAAAGUAGGAGUUCAGUGACCUCAUUAUAAAGAAUGAAUUGUUUCUGCUUGGUUAGAACAAUAUGAGUUAUUAACGUCUGUAAUCAAUAACUGACCAAAAACCACACCAGCACAAACCUCAGUAAUCAUCAUAAGGCUGGUGUCAGGAUGACUUGACUCAAGAGUAUCUUGCACAAACCCAAAAAGAUUAUUGUUUGGGGGAUGGGAAGGAAAUCUCAUGAGAUUAUUAAUCUGCAUUCAUUAGAUGGAUGUAUGGCAAAACUUCGCAUUUUUUCAAGACGCAUUCAAGUAAAAUUUGUUAUCAAAGUUUUCAGACAUUUUAAAGUGAGCAGAUGUUCUCAGGACCUAACUAUCCUCCCCAAUCAAGAAAGCCCACUAUGAAUUAAAAUUUGACACUAACCAAAAUUCUACUAGCAGUAAAGCAAGUAAUGCGCUAUCUACCUACCUGCAUUUCAUCAUCACCUGGGACCACACAUUCGCAUUGUUCCUGUCACUGAUCUUUUAUCCUAAUGCAGGAAACCCCCAUGACUAAUUACUUACAAAUCAGAGUUAGCUUAAGUCAGCAAUCAACCUGGGUUAAAAUCCUGUAUUUUACCGAUUUUUUUUUUUUUUUUGUUCUUCACAUUAAAUACACACAGUAAACGUGGACAAACCACAUCUCCUGAGAACCUGAUCUGCCUAGAAUACUUUGUUUCUUUAUAAACAGUUUAUUAUCAUUAACUGUAGAAGAUCAUUUAUGGGAACAGGUAUUUAAAAACUAAUUUAACCAUGAAGUGCUUGACUACAGCUAAAAGCUCCAAAUUAAUUGUGAGAAAAUAUUGAGGAAGGACUAAACUUUUAGGUGUUUCGUACUGACUUUCACAUCCUUAGCACUAAGUUCAACUUCAGACAAGAAAAUACUAUGAGCUACAUCCUGAUGAGUUAUCCAGCUCUUCUGCUGCUCCUCAUACGUUUCUGGAGAACUUUAAGUAACUCCCUAUUUAAGUACUCUCAAAUUAACUCCUGUCCAUCUUAAGAUCCCAUAAAGACCUUAACUAGCAUUUCAGACAGACACAAACCAAGAAAAUG